RNAcentral lists this ribosomal RNA (253 nucleotides) under uncultured bacterium. RNAcentral describes it as "partial 16S ribosomal RNA". It matches the Rfam family "Bacterial small subunit ribosomal RNA", at positions 524 to 776 of the family's 1533-position model. The record is from RNAcentral.
GACAGAGGGUGCAAACGUUGUCCGGAAUCACUGGGCGUAAAGGGCGCGUAGGUGGCGGCCCAAGUCCAUGGUGAAAGCUCGUCGCUCAACGACGAGUCGGCCACGGAUACUGGGUUGCUCGAGCACUGUAGAGGCAGAUGGAAUUCCGGGUGUAGCGGUGGAAUGCGUAGAGAUCCGGAAGAACACCGGUGGCGAAGGCGGUCUGCUGGGCAGUAGCUGACACUGAGGCGCGACAGCGUGGGGAGCAAACAGG